UACGUAGGGUGCGAGCGUUAAUCGGAAUUACUGGGCGUAAAGCGUGCGCAGGCGGUUUUGUAAGCCAGAUGUGAAAUCCCCGGGCUUAACCUGGGAAUGGCAUUUGGGACUGCAAGGCUCGAGUGCGGCAGAGGAGACUGGAAUUCCUGGUGUAGCAGUGAAAUGCGUAGAUAUCAGGAGGAAUACCGAUGGCGAAGGCAGGUCUCUGGGCUAUAACUGACGCUCAUGCACGAAAGCGUGGGGAGCAAACAGG
Molecule: ribosomal RNA, 253 nt
Filed under: uncultured bacterium
Lineage: Bacteria
Description: partial 16S ribosomal RNA
Rfam family: Bacterial small subunit ribosomal RNA
Source: RNAcentral